Rhipicephalus sanguineus (brown dog tick) is the source of this 3182-nucleotide long non-coding RNA. RefSeq lists it as uncharacterized. The transcript has 2 exons. The record is from RefSeq and is a predicted model, not a curated record. NCBI's taxonomy places the organism in Eukaryota, Metazoa, Arthropoda, Arachnida, Ixodida, Ixodidae.
ACACUGAAGGCACAGGGCACUUCAUUCUCAAAAACAUUUGACAUCUUCACACAGAGCACGUGCCGCCUGUGACACUGAAGGCACAGGGCGCUUCAUGUUCAUAAAUAUUGACAUCGUCAGGCAGAGCAGUGCGCUGUUUGGGACAUUGGUGACAGAGGGCACUUCACGUUCGUGAACACUGACAUAGUCGGCCAGAGCAGCGUGCUACCUGUGACACUGAAGGCACAGGGCACUUCAUGCUCGUAAACACUGACAUCUUCAUACAGAGCAGCGGGCUGUCUGACACUGAUGGCACAGAGCGCUUCAUGUUCAGCGUAUGUGUCGCAUCUCCCUUUUGGCCCAUUACUUGUGGCAAUGUUGCAUGCAUGUUUGCAUUAGGGACUGUCGCAACCAUGUGUCGUUCCUCUUAAUGUCUCUCCUGGUACUGCAGAGCUUGAGACAGAGAUGCAAAAAGAGCAUUCGUUGACAGUUCUGGCAUGGACAGACACUCGUAAAUGACUACAGGCUUUAGGCUGCUUGUCUUGUCAAGCGUCUAUGCCUUUUUUGCGCUUGUCUGCUCAUACCAAAGCCUCACGUUAUCCAAUGUGCAAACUAGCCUUGCGAAGGUGUAACUGAGGCCAGAGUUCUUGAAGUACCAGGGGUGCAGCCCGAACACCACCGCUGUACUGUUGUUAUUAUGAGCUCGGUGGCAUGGGAACUUUUGAGCUGGAGUUUGCGCAGAGAGUACCUUAUCAAAGCCACCACUGCCGUUGUGUUUUCCAAUCAGCAGCAAAUUCCCCGCAUGUUGGAAAAAAACAAAUGUUUUCAAUGACAAGUUUAGUACUCUGUACUUUAAAUUGGUUUACAACCAUCAGGUCCGUACCUUUGUCAGGAAAGUAAUGGUCGUCAUCUAUCUUGUGUUAUUUUUCUCAAUUUAACACCACGUGCCUGGUGCUUUCAGUUAAUGAACAGCAUGUGUGUUUUCAGCAUGAUGUAGCAUUCUUGAUUGGAAGUAGCAUGCAUAGUUUUCAAGGAAGGAAACUAAAGCAAGCCAAAUGACUAAUAUUGGUGCGUGACAAAAAUACAUCCCAGAGUGUGCAAACUCUUUAAAGUUUUGUGCCUCUUUUGUAAAGGGGUAGGAUUCAACCGAGUUGUGGGAUAAUGCGUAUACCUCAACGAGUGUAAGAUAUUUUAGAGCGUAUUUCCUUGCAGUAAUGAAAGAAUGCGAUUGUUCCGCUCGCAGGAAUGCGUUGAACUGUAAACGCAUCUUUUUGCUCUCAACACAUCAGAUGAUGACGCUCAGUUGUCUAUGCUGCUGCUGCGGAAUAUUGCUAAACAAUAUCAAUAAUAACUUUUUAGUGCAGAAAAAAAAAACAAGAAAGAUGACAGUUGAAGGCACCUUGUCCUGUCACCUUCCUUAUGUUGCGUUUUUUCUUUUUACACUAAAAAGUUAUGGAUACGCACCAACUAGUACAUGAAUGCAUUGUUCAAAGCAGUAAGUCGUUAAGCCGCAAACAAGGCGGCAUAGGGUCUACCGUAAUUUAUUGCUUGCCAAAGUUUUGCCUUUGCUAAAGUGUAAGGAAACAAUGUCAAUGAUCUGUGCCAUUUGCGUGACAUUUUCCAAAAAAGAUUCUAAUCUGCUAGUUACUGCGACGUUGACUGUUCUCCAGUUAGCCCCCGAGAAGGAAAUCUGCAAGGAUUACAUUGUUCUAUGCAUGUUGGACAGGUCUUUUUCUUUUUCUAGACGAUUUCAUGCACUGGUAAGAAGCCCGUCGAGGGCUAUUCAAAUGCCUUUGACUUUCCCUGGUCGUUUCAUUUCUCUUCUGCUGCAAAUUGUUAUAGAUGCCUUGUGAAGACAAACAGGUACCCAUUUUCACAUCACGGCGGUUGUAUGCAUGUCUGGCUGACUGACGCAGACAGUGGAAAGUUAUAACGGAGAAGCAUAGACUUUGCCGUGUGUAUCUGUAGAUAAAGCUGUGCUCAUUACGACAUCUUGCGACCCGGCAUUUCUAACCGAGGUUUAGAGAACUUUUAUCGAAGACAUCGUUUUGUUGGGCCUCUUGCACCCUCGUUCCGUAAGGGUGUGCAAUCAAUACUGCUGACCGAAUUCAACAACGAUUUGUCAGUGCUGGCUGGCGUUAGCUGAAGGAUGGCUAGAGGUGGCUAAGUUUUGGCUGUGUUGCUUUACUUUGGCUAAAUGAUAGUAAAUGUUGUUGGCUAUCUGCUGUUAUAACAUCAGCAUUGUCUUUAUUGUACUUUAAUAUAAAGCAAUGACUGACUACUGAAUGUGCAAGUCCACAAACUGGACGUCGCACAAGAAAAAACACACAAGGGUCGAGUGCAUAAUCUUGUAUUAUAAUGGAACAGCUAGCCCCUCAACAUUUUCUUCUCGAGAGUGGGACGGGACAGGGGUUAAUCCCCUCUUACCCCCGCCUCGCCCGUACUUUUAAUAUUCAUUCAUUCUUUCAAUGAAAUGAUUGAGUUGUCCAGGAAAUUUUACAGUGACUUAGUAUGUUCGACUCAUCCGCUGCUCCAGUAGCAGCUGGCAGCGACAUGCAUGCCAGGAUGGUUAUUUUUGUUUUCUUCAAAUUGUGUCCUUCAAGACAAAAAAACGUUCCCUGCACGUGGCCUCUGCGAUCAGCUCCGGCGGUGCGCCGUAACGGCGCGCUGCCGGAGCUGAUCGCGGAGGCCACGCGUUACGGUCGAGCGCCACGUCGCAAGAUGUCGCCGUCAGCGCUGCCUGUUCCCCUUUAUGUCUUACGAUGUUGCGGCUGUGGUAUGCGCUGUUCUAUAAAUACCUAGUGAUGUUGCUGCAGUACUUUAGGGCGGAAGGGGGGAGGGGCACUUUCUCCGAUAGUAUGUGUCGGCAUGACGCUGAUGAUGCACAGUGACAGGUGGUAAAGUGAAAAUGGUUGAAAUAAAGUGCGCGUUCAUUUUUUCCUUCAGUGCCUGCCGUGUACAUAAAGAUUGCGUGCUGCAUUGCCAGCGGAGUUCUUUUUUUUUUUCCUUUCGAAUGUCUUACGUCGGAUUCUUUGUUUCGACCACUGCAGCUAUGGAUGCGUGGCGCGCCUGAAGUGGACACGCGUGUCUUGUUGCUUUGUCACGAUUGAUCAGAUGCUCGCAAUGGUCAGAUACGAAAGUAACUCGCAGAAAGAAGAAAAAAAGAUACUGUUGAAAGUGAAUAAAAAAAGUAUAUAUAUAUA